RNAcentral lists this ribosomal RNA (786 nucleotides) under Triticum aestivum (bread wheat). RNAcentral's name for it is "partial small subunit ribosomal RNA". The record is from RNAcentral. Lineage: Eukaryota; Viridiplantae; Streptophyta; Magnoliopsida; Poales; Poaceae.
AUGGCGGGGCUGUAUGAGAAACCGUCGGAGACGUACGCCAAGAAGCGGCCGCGGUACCCCAAGGAGUGGUUCUCCAUGCUCGCCUCCCUCACCGCCGGCCACCACCGCGCCUGGGACGCCGGCUGCGGCACCGGCCAGGCCUCCGUCAGCAUCGCGGAGCACUACGACGGCGUGGUCGCGACGGACGUGAGCGAGGGCCAGCUCCGCCACGCCAUCGCGCACCCCAAGGUGCGGUACCUGCACACGCCGGAGGACCUCCCGGAGGACGACCUCGUCGCCCUGGUCGGCGGCGAGGGCUCCGUGGACCUGGUCAUCGUGGCGACCGCGAUCCACUGGUUCGACGUCCCGCUCUUCUACGCCGUGGUGAACCGCGUCCUCAGGAGGCCAGGCGGCGUCCUCGCCGUGUGGGGGUACAACUACGACAUCCACCCGUUCGGGGACAAGCUGCAGGGGACGCUGUACCCGGCCAUGCGGCCGUACAUGGACCCGAGGACGAGGCUGGCCAUGGAGCGGUACCGCCAGCUGCCGUUCCCGUUCGAGCCCGUCGGGGUGGGCCGCGAGGGCGAGCCGGCCGACGUCGACAUGGAGGCGGAGAUGACGCUGGAGGACCUGGCCGGGUUCGUGAUGACCGGCUCCGUCGCGACCACGGCUAGGGAGAAAGGGGUGGACCUGGAGGCGCUGGUGAAGGGUGUGAUGAAGGAGGUGGAAGAGGGGUGGGGGGAUCGGCCGACGGUGCCCAGGAAGCUUGUGUUCAAGGCCUUCAUGCUGGCUGGGAGGCCCAGGUGA